This 360-nucleotide ribosomal RNA is filed under the name Triticum aestivum (bread wheat). RNAcentral describes it as "partial small subunit ribosomal RNA". Lineage: Eukaryota; Viridiplantae; Streptophyta; Magnoliopsida; Poales; Poaceae. The record is from RNAcentral.
AUGCUCGCCGCAGACAUCAUCCAGAUCUCCACGUCGCCCUUCACGGCGCCGGUGCUCCUCGUCCGUAAGUCAGACGGCACAUGGUGCUUCUGCAUCGACUACCGCGCCCUCAACGCACUCACGCUCAAGGACAAGUUCCCUAUACCGGUGGUCGACGAGCUCUUGGAUGAGCUCCAUGGGGCAUGCUUCUUCACCAAGCUCGAUCUCCGGUCGGGCUAUCAUCAGGUGCGCAUGCAUCCGGACGACAUCGCCAAGACGGUGUUUCGCACCCACCAUGGCCACUUCGAGUUCUUGGUGAUGCCUUUCGGCCUCGCCAACGCCCCGGCGACGUUCCAGGCCCUGAUGAACGACGUCCUUCGA